GACGAACGCUGGCGGCGUGCCUAAUACAUGCAAGUCGAACGCAGUGGGGACGGGUGAGUAACACGUGGGUAACCUCCCAUCAGAGGGGAUAACACUUGGAAACAGGUGCUAAACCGAUACUGAUGGAUGGACCCGCGGUGCAUUAGCCAGUUGGUGAGGUAACGGCUCACCAAGGCCACGAUGCAUAGCCGACGUGAGAGUGUGUUCUGCCACACUGGGACUGAGACACGGCCCAGACUCCUACGGGAGGCAUCAGUGGGGAAUAUUGCACAAUGGGCGCAAGCCUGAUGCAGCCAUGCCGCGUGUAUGAAGAAGGCCUUCGGGUUGUAAAGUACUUUCAGCGGGGAAGCGUUACCCGCAGAAGAAGCACCGGCUAACUCCGUGCCAGCAGCCGCGGUAAUUC
Molecule: ribosomal RNA, 403 nt
Filed under: uncultured bacterium
Lineage: Bacteria
Description: partial 16S ribosomal RNA
Rfam family: Bacterial small subunit ribosomal RNA
Source: RNAcentral